GAUGAAGAACGUAGCGAAAUGCGAUACUUGGUGUGAAUUGCAGAAUCCCGUGAACCAUCGAGUCUUUGAACGCAAGUUGCGCCCGAAGCCAUUAGGCCGAGGGCACGCCUGCCUGGGUGUCACACACCGUUACCCUCGCGCCAACGUCCAUCGUUGGCCGCGGCGCGGGGCGUGCGCUGACCUCCCGCGAGCGGGGUCUCGUGGUUGGUUGAAAAUCGAGUUCGCGGUCGAGGGUGCCGUGAUGAAAUGGUGGAUGGGCGACGCCCGAGGCCAAUCACGCGCGACUCUGUCCCGCUCGGACUCCUGGACCCCUUCGGCGUCUCCGGACGCUCUUUGGCGAGACCUCAGGUCAGGCGGGGCUACCCGCUGAGUUUAAGCAUAUCAAUAAGCGGAGGA
Molecule: unclassified non-coding RNA, 396 nt
Filed under: soil metagenome
Description: partial contains 5.8S ribosomal RNA, internal transcribed spacer 2, and large subunit ribosomal RNA
Rfam family: 5.8S ribosomal RNA (bases 1-122)
Source: RNAcentral